RNAcentral lists this ribosomal RNA (522 nucleotides) under uncultured microorganism. RNAcentral describes it as "bacterial SSU rRNA". It matches the Rfam family "Bacterial small subunit ribosomal RNA", at positions 9 to 515 of the family's 1533-position model. The record is from RNAcentral.
GAGUUUGAUCCUGGCUCAGGAUGAACGCUAGCGACAGGCUUAACACAUGCAAGUCGAGGGGCAGCGGUGGUGAAGGCUUGCCUUUACCAGCCGGCGACCGGCGCACGGGUGAGUAACACGUAUGCAACCUGCCUGCCACAGCCGGAUAAUCGGGAGAAAUUCCGUCUAAUACGGCAUAAUGCAUCGACGGGACAUCCUGUUGGUGCCAAAGGUUGAUUCCGGUGGCGGAUGGGCAUGCGUCGCAUUAGUUAGUUGGCGGUGUAACGGACCACCAAGACGACGAUGCGUAGGGGUUCUGAGAGGAAGGUCCCUCACACUGGGUACUGAGACACGGGACCAGACUCCUACGGGAGGCAGCAGUGAGGAAUAUUGGUCAAUGGGCGGGAGCCUGAACCAGCCAAGUCGCGUGAGGGAUGACGGCCCUAUGGGUUGUAAACCUCUUUUGCCGGGGAGCAAAGUGCCGCACGUGUGCGGUUUGGAGAGUACCCGGAGAAAAGCAUCGGCUAACUCCGUGCCAGCACG